GGCGCCGAGGGAGCGUAGGGCCGAGCCCCGGCCGUGCGGGAGCGGGAGGGAAGGGGCAGGCGGCGGGCGCGGAUUGCCCCGCCGGCAGCCCCCGCGGGAAAGGCGCCGGCGACCGCCCGGAGCCCCCGUGUCGGGGGGAGGGCGGAGCUGCUCGCCCACAGCAGAGGAGCGGUACCCCCUGCCAGCCCCGCACCGCCGCUCCCCGCCUGCCCUGCGCUGAGCCUCCCGCUCUUGCCUUAAAUCCCGGCUCCCUGGGGCAGAGCGGGAGCGCGGCGGUCCUCGAGUCGCCUGCAGGGAGGGCUCGGGGUCUCCCUUCGCCUCAGGGGACGGGGCGACAGCUGCUGGAAUUCUUUCUUGCUGAUGAAAUGUGAUCCACGGUCUGUUUUAAAACAGGUUUCUGACAAUAUAAAAGCGAAAAAUACUAAGGAGGGACAGAUUCAAAGACGACCCAAAGCUGUUUGGAAAUGACUUUGUCCCUUUCUGAGAGCAUCUGGCGUCUGCUUUUGAUGAUGGAUUACAGAUUUGUAAUCUUACUGAAACCUACACAACUCAAAGUUCCUGUAUAAGACAAACAGAAGUUUACUGCUCACCAAGUCUACAUAUAAAUUUAUAGUUAUCAAAGACUGCCCUCUGUUGAUCUAGUAUAAUCUUAACAUCUUAGAAGCCCGAUUUUUGUUAUUACAUUACUUUUCGUAGGAGUUUUGUACUUAACGAUGGAAUUAAUUCCAGAGAUGCUCUUCAAAUAAAUUAGUAAAAAUGAAAUAAUUUUGAUGAUUAAAUACUGGGAAAGGACACUAAAUAUGACAUAAAUAUGUCAGGGGUUUUUAACAUUUUCCAAAAAGAUGUGCCAUCUCUUGCCGAUGUAUAUAAACUAUCUUGCCAAGGAAAUCAGAGGAGCAGGGGGAGAGGAUGGAAACAGCAUAUGAGAUUCAUGGGAGCAUUUGGACACUUAUUGGUUGUAUAAGUAAUUUUGCUAUUACAAUUCAGCUCUGAAGGCCAUGUAAAAGCAAGGUGUACAGGACCUACUGUGGCACAGAGAAAAUUUUCAUCAUUCACAGGUGAUUCGGUGUACAAAGACCAAAGAACAGUCCUAUAUAAAUAGUCUGCCAAAACAGAGUAAAAAUUUGAAAAUGUUAAAUCAGCCAGAUGAGAGAGUGUCUCACUUCCCUGUGUGUAGCUGUACUUAACCAAAAACGUUUUUGUUGCUUCCAUACUCACUUUUUCUUCUCUUAUUUCAUCAAUGAAUUAUUGUGCAAGUGGUUAUUUAUAAAUUAUCUGGCACAGUUUUUUGCCUGGGUAUAUGCAAGAAUAUUGCCAAACUAACUUUCAGUGAUCCUUUUUCUGCCAAGUAUCUCAAGAGGCAGACAGCUGACUCAAGAAUCCUCUGUCCCUGAUAUGUCUUCUUUACCAUCACGCUCUGUAAAUGUGGCAUUGUCUUGAAGCUGUUCUCCAUUUCUUUCAUGACUUCUGUUUCAGUCCAAAUAUCUGUUGCCCUGCAGGCAGAGAUGCUCCUGAAAAGUCCAACACCACUAAAUCUUGCAUCCAUAGUUUUAGUUCCCUUUGCCUCAGGUAAAUGUUUGUCUUGCAGUGUGAAGAAACUUCACUGGCUUCUGUCAGGAUAAGGUUUCAUUCCUUGACUAGUGAAACUCUAUACAGUCUGUUCUCAGAAUUGUUUUCUGUUGAUGCUGGGAUGAGUAUAAUGCUGGUUUCUACAUUUCAUGUACCUACAGUAAAUGUGACCACAUGACCCAGCCAACAUUUACUCCAAAACCCAAUCCAAAAUCACUCUCCAUGUUUCUAAAGCUCUUCUUAGACUUUUGUCUUAGUACCUUGUGAUGUUUCUUCUGCUGUUGCCCCAGUAAUUGUUUUCACUUGCCUAGCACUGGCACCCUGCCUACCCUCCAUGUCUCUAGCACUAUUUUUACUUCAACCUUGGUUCUUUGAAAACCUACUUUUCAAGUCAACCUUCUUCAAGCUCCUUCCCACUUUAGAUCUCAUCAGAAGCAAUGUGUUUUCCUUUACAUUUUUUCUCCUCUGCCUUUUGAUCAUUCUUACUCUUGUUUCAAAGCCAAAAUGCAAUUUCUUGAUCUCCUAUUAACAAUGAGAAAAGACUUGGUAAUUUGCUAGAGUAAAUAAGUAGUUCCAUCAAUCUUUCUUACCUAUGGUUUAUGUCUUGUGUUUGGACUCUUCGAAGUUUUUUUACUCUGAUUAUGGAAUUUAUAACAUUGCUUUUAAAUGUACACUGACACACACACAUAUGUUCUUUGAUGUGUAAUGAAAGCAACGAUAGACACUAUAAGCAACAUAGCUGUUUUCAAAAAAUAUUUAAAGACCUGGACUUUUUGAGUCCUCUCUCAGAUUUCCCCUGGAUGAAAUUGGUGAGUGGUUGGAAAUGUUCUUGACAGGAACUGGCCAAAUGCUGUCACCAAUGACAAUGACAAGUUCAUUUCAACGUGGAAUCCAGAAUAGGUGCAUGUUGAUAUGGGUAUGUAUUGUGUUAGACUAUAUUUAUGUAAAUUAUAAUUAUAGCUGAAAUCAUGUAUCAACAAGGAAUUAUUGGUAAGAUAUUUAUUACUUACAGGUAAGUACUUAAUAGCUGGUGGAGGUCAAUACAGUCAAAUCUUCCACGUUUAUACAUUUAUCUGGAAUGCCAAUUUUUAAUUUUUUUUUUUUUUUUUAACUUUAAACUGUGUCUAUACUGGUUAUCUACUCUAAUUUAUAUUGCCAUGUUUUAAUUAGAGAUCACUGCAAUUCCAGUACAGUCAAGUGCUUAUAUAUUUUAUAUUUAAAGUGGUGGACUGACACCACUUUAUUUGAAAAUGAAAACAGAAUGGAAGCUAUUUAGUGGAUAAGACAUCAAAUCCAGGCUAAGUUAUUUAACUCAUCCUGUCCCACAAAUGUCCUACAAAUACAUAUUUUCUUGUUAGGACACAUGCAACAUUGGGUUUUUUUUCUGGUAACACAUGCCUGUUGUUAUAAAAAAUUGCAACAGAGACUUAUUGCCCUUCCUCUCCCUGUUCUUAUACUUUCAGAAAGGAUGAAUAAUGGCUUCUCAGUAAAGCUGUUUUGUGCUGUGGCUUGUGUGCAUUUUGACAUCUGCAAUACAGGCAUUUUAUUAGUGUAACCUGUGGAAAACAUUAAUGGCUGAGAGAGCAGAGAUCGCUUGGUUGGUGCUAGAGUUAAGGUUAUUCAGCUGAUGGUGCAGUCUUCUGAACUAGAUAGAAAGUGAGAGAGAAUCAAAUUCUGAUUUUCAUGACAGAGUUGUUUAUGAGUCCACGUUUGAUUUCUGUAUUAAGAACUGUAAGUUUAAAAAGUAGGAGUUCAAAUUCAUUUCAUUCUAGCACAGAUGUUAAAGGUGGCUGAGGUGAAACUUUUUGGAGUAGUCCAUUCCUCUCUCUUGACUACAGUUUAGUAUCAUUGACUGGUAGUGGCAGUGUUCUGGCUGUUAUGAUUUAAGGGUUACUCCCUUAAAUAAGCAAAGGAAAACUUGUACAUAAAGGUAAUAUCUUUUAAGAGAUUUAAUAGAAAUUACUGAGGAAAAAUAGAAAAGCCUUUGACCACAUAAGCCUAUCUUAUCUCCUGGCCUGCCAUAGAAACAGAGAAUUAAGAAUAUUUGACCAAAAUUAACUUUCUUAUAAGUCUAUGAAGUAACUUGAGGAGAAGUUGGGCAGUUCCUGUAGAAUGAAGGCGUGCAUGAUGAAAUUUCAUUCAGAGGAUGAUCUUCCUCCAUCAUGGGUUACAAUGGUUAAUAAUUUUCUGCAUGUUUCAUGUUUAGCUGAAUGAUCAGUGGUGGGGAGAGACUUGUAUUGCACCAAGUACUUACAUCAUAUUAAGGUAGCUCAUUCAAAGAGCCAAUCCAUUUUUCUCUAGAGGAUUGAUCUCAGUGGUCGAGAAGCUUUUAUAACAUGAGCAUGAUAUUGUUCUUCUCAAAAUAAUUGCAGCAAUAUCUAGAUGUAUGUUGCUAUCUUUUUUAUGUGUUUUGGAUGGCUGCUGGUCUUAUGUUUGUGGGUGAGUAAGUUGAAUUGUUGGUAACAGUGCAGUAAUUCUGCAGCUGACAGAGAAUUAUAUUUAGUUAUAAUAUUUAGAAUUAUUUGCAUUUAUCUGAGCCAAGAUGUUGAUUUUUGCCUAUUAACAGAACUCUUUUCUAUCAACUAAAUAUUUUUUAUACACACCUAUACUACAAACAUGACAUACUGCACAUUUUAUACAGUAUAUAGUCAAGUUCCAUGACAAAGAUUGUUAAACUAGGCCUGGAAUAUCAGUCAAACAAGCUGUCAGGUAUCCCCAAAUUGAAUGCUUUUAAUGAUUGAGGACACUAUGGUAUAUGUCAUAAAAUAAAACAAAUUCUUUUGAAGGAUGAUCCUGCCAUCUUUGUGUUGACCUUGCAUAACUAUUAAAAUUGCAUAUCAAAGGCUGAAGAAACUGUAGUUUAAGCACUUAAGAUGCCAUUCACUGUAAUUUUCUCUCUCCUGCUUUAUAAGAGAAAUUUUACCUAAUCUUUGUAGCUUCAGUUGUCAUAACAAACCCACCCCACACAGGCGGUUUCAUCAUAUUAUAAUUCAAACAGUAUCACAGCCAAAUACACAAUUUCCUGUGACUGUAAACUAUUGGCCUUUAUGUUAGACAGCCACAGGCUGAAAAGUAAAUGAGAACUAAGCCUUAAGAUUGUGAAGAGGACAAGAACCAGCAUUCCCCCUCCCUUUUCAUAUCCAGAUAGUGAUGUCAACCACUUACUAUGUUUCCUUUCUCCAUAGACAUUUCCCUAAAUUAGCCAAUGUUAACUUUACUCCCAUUUUGCACACAACUGGGGUGAAUACAGACAACUUAACCUUUUAGGUCUGAUACUGUGACUUCCACUCAGAUGAACCUCAUAUUGUGUUCCAUGAGUUUUGCCAAGAUAAGAAUCACAGGAAGCUUAAAAUGUGACAGAUGAGGAUUUUGUUAAUGUGUAAGUCAUAUGGAUGUAGGUGUCUGUUUCACCUGCAUACCUAUUAAAAUUAGGCAUUUGUAACAUUGCAAGUUGAUCUCCAGACACUUAAGUAAAUUGGUUUCAAACCAGUUCUCCAGACUUUUAUUCGCAUUCAAAUGAACCAUCAAUUAGUGUCAAUAUAUACUAUGAAAUAGGAGCUAUUCUGGAGAAACAGCUAUAAAACCUCUGGAUCAAACUGAUUUUACCUUACCAGUAAUGCAGAAGGUGUUCAUCACAGACAAAACCCAGCAGUUAACAAGAAUCCCAAUUUCAGGUUACAGCUCAUUGUAAAGGGAAGAUUUUUGAAGGCAUGGAUAAGUACUUGAUGCCUAACUUUUGUCAGAGGCUGAAGGAGUUAAUGUCUCAAACACUGUGGUGGGCCAAGUUCUGCUCAGUGGUGCGCUCUGCGUAACCACGAACCUGCCCAGCAACGAACCCAGCCGCAGGCUCAGCUCACCAUACAUGGCCAAAGGUCCAAGAACGGUUGUACCUGCGGGGAGGGAGAAGUCACUCCCCAAACGACCCCAAGCCCACCGACCCAUUUCCAAAAGGUUCUGGAAGCACUAACUGUGCAUGACACCUAA
Aquila chrysaetos chrysaetos is the source of this 5553-nucleotide long non-coding RNA. RefSeq lists it as uncharacterized. The transcript is spliced from 3 exons. The record is from RefSeq and is a predicted model, not a curated record. Lineage: Eukaryota; Metazoa; Chordata; Aves; Accipitriformes; Accipitridae.